RNAcentral lists this unclassified non-coding RNA (519 nucleotides) under Hevea brasiliensis (rubber tree). The record is from RNAcentral. Lineage: Eukaryota; Viridiplantae; Streptophyta; Magnoliopsida; Malpighiales; Euphorbiaceae.
ACCUGUUCCUUCUCUCUUUUUUUUUUAAUUUAUUUAUUAGCUACAAAUUUUGACUGUAGAUAUUUGAAAGGACAUUGUAGCCUGCAUUAGAUGUGUCAUAUCUUUUGUAUUUGGAGUUUAUAAGCACUUGAAAUAAUUUCUUAUAAAGGAACUUUGAUGUAAAGAAUACCAGAGAUUACUAUCUCAUACGUUAGGAACUUUAUAAACAGUAACUCAUUGCAUUGCUGUAUUUAGAUGACAUUAAUCCCUCCAUUGCUUUAUUUAAAUGCACAGUUUCUGUCUGAAUGUAAGUGUUACUGGAUUUUGCAAGUACAGUUGGGAUGAAGGGUAAAGCUGUCAGGAUGAAUCUUCUGGUAAAGUGUUCCCCAUGGAUUUCAAUUCCAGUUCGGUGGUGCUGCUUUCAUUAAUUGGUUAUGUUCAGUGCGUUUUAGGUCAGUUGGAACAAGGUCUUUUAAGUUGUGACAUUUUUUUGUAGUUUAUGAAACUACAGCACAGGCUCGUCAGUGUUGAACACCACAA